CACGUAGGCGGUGAAUCGGGUUGAAAGUGAAAGUCGCCAAAAAGUGGCGGAAUGCUCUCGAAACCAAUUCACUUGAGUGAGACAGAGGAGAGUGGAAUUUCGUGUGUAGGGGUGAAAUCCGUAGAUCUACGAAGGAACGCCAAAAGCGAAGGCAGCUCUCUGGGUCCCUACCGACGCUGGGGUGCGAAAGCAUGGGGAAGCGAACAG
RNAcentral lists this ribosomal RNA (207 nucleotides) under uncultured bacterium. RNAcentral's name for it is "partial 16S ribosomal RNA". It matches the Rfam family "Bacterial small subunit ribosomal RNA", at positions 568 to 775 of the family's 1533-position model. The record is from RNAcentral.